UAUAUAUUAAAUGAAUCAUCAUAAUUUUUACUUAAUAAAAUUAAAAUUCAAUGUGAACUAGAAUUUUCUAAGUAAAAUUUUAAAUAUCUACGCGUUUAAUUCAUGUAAUAAAUUAACUGGUUGGAAAGAGUAAAUCUUAUUAUAUAUUUUCUUGUAAUAUUUAAACGUUUUAUAGUCCCUUCACAUAAACAUAGUAAUUUUAAGUAAAUUUUAAUAGAAAAGCAUAGCGCGUUUGAAUCCGCACAUGCGCGUUUGGACAAGUCUAACUGCGCACUUUGGAUCUGAGACGAGACGAAUUGGCGGGCUGCUGCGUGGCUGCUUUCUGUCGUGUUUGAGAUCAAGGAGGAAUUCAGGAGAAUCGAUCAUGGGGCAGAGAUUCAUGUUCAGACUUGACCAAUGCACAUCAAGACUUAUUGCCCUGAUGAAGGCCAUGGGAGGUGUUGUGGGGACCAACUGAGGCCAUUUCUGGACAAACUGAGUCAGACACAAAGCCUUAAGAUGGGAAUCAGUUAUCCGCAGCCUCAUUCUCUACUUUGACGAUAAAGAAGAUGAUAAACUGUGUUUUGAAGAUGAACAGAGUUCUGACGGGCUCGGGACGACAUGAGGGAGGACAGCGGCAGUGACAUCACUCAGCACAGCAUUAAAAUACUGGUCGUUCGUGGUGCUGAUGGAGAAGAUCCAAUCGAUGUAUCCAUCCUUUUUGAAGGGAAGGAAAUGCUGGAAGCAGCAAUACCGUAAAGACAGUUUUACUGAAUGCACCUGUGUCAAGAGAUGACUGAAUGUCCAUUCUUGUAUGAACAUUUUUGAUGACUGAAAAAUAAACUGUUUAAUUGAA
Molecule: non-coding RNA, 835 nt
Organism: Pimephales promelas (fathead minnow)
Lineage: Eukaryota; Metazoa; Chordata; Actinopteri; Cypriniformes; Leuciscidae
Source: RefSeq, a predicted model, not a curated record